AUACGGAGGAUCCGAGCGUUAUCCGGAUUUAUUGGGUUUAAAGGGUGCGCAGGCGGCCAUUUAAGUCAGCGGUUAAAUCGUGGGGCUCAACCCCAUUCUGCCGUUGAUACUGGGUGGCUUGAUUGCGGUCGAGGUUGGCGGAAUUCGUUGUGUAGCGGUGAAAUGCGUAGAUAUGACGAAAAACACCGAUUGCGUAGGCAGCUGACCAGGCCGCGAAUGGCGCUCAUGCACGAAAGGGCGGGGAUCGAACAGGAUUAGAUACCCUGGUAGUCCGCACAGUAAACGAUGAAUACUUGUUUUCGGCGAUAUAAUGUCGGAGGCAAAGCGAAAGCGAUAAGUAUUCCACCUGGGGAGUACGCCGGCAACGGUGAAACUCAAAUGAAUUGACGGGG
This 392-nucleotide ribosomal RNA is filed under the name uncultured bacterium. RNAcentral's name for it is "partial 16S ribosomal RNA". It matches the Rfam family "Bacterial small subunit ribosomal RNA", at positions 523 to 918 of the family's 1533-position model. The record is from RNAcentral.